Molecule: long non-coding RNA, 1371 nt
Organism: Lytechinus variegatus (green sea urchin)
Lineage: Eukaryota; Metazoa; Echinodermata; Echinoidea; Temnopleuroida; Toxopneustidae
Exons: 3
Source: RefSeq, a predicted model, not a curated record
AAUCUUCAAUUCAACGUUGAGACCAGUGAUGCGGAAUGGAUGCGAUAAAACCGGCCUCUCUCCUCUCAUCCUAGCAACCCUCCAUUCUCACUUUAGAACGAAAGGCUACUCCAGAGAGGUUUUAGUUAUUGAUACAGUAAUACCUCAGAGUUUUCGUUCUCCAUCGAUCGUUUUUGUUAAUAUUAUUUCGUCAAAGUAUAUCAGGAAGAAAUAACUCAUAACUUUGUAGUUUUCGGUCUCCAUCCAUCCGUCUUUUCUGACUUUGUUUUCAUCAAAGUUUCUUUAAGAAGUAUAUAGCUCACAUUUUGUCCUUCAUCCAUCGUAGUUUCUUGAUCUGUUUCCUUUAGUUUAAUCACUCAUAUAUCACUCGAGGAUCCUCCGUCUUUAUCUUCUGAUCCAGGUCCCCUUUCUGACGUCACAAUGUCACAGCCUCUAUUCGUCCUCGUCCUCUGCUUUGUCACAUUAACUGUCUUAUUACCACGUGUGUCAGCCUCACCUUUAUAUCAUCUCAAUGCACUGUCACUGAGUGAGCCUGAUGCAACACAGUUUGAGGUCGAAACAAGAGGCCAUCAACCAGAAAGGAGAAAUCCUUUAUUAUCAGGUAAAUCUCGUAUGUGCUUCGCUUCUGCCAGUCUUGUUUGCGUGUGUGAUUUACAAGGACGACUUAAGGGCUGUUUCAGGGGACCUUCGGCUGUGAUGGCCAUCCGAGGGAUCGGUGUAUGAUCAGGACUCUACAAUCAACACUUAUCUACUGAAUUCUCUAAUUCCAAAAGGCUUCAUGAAGGGGACAAUGGGUUUCUUUACGGAACAGGACGAUAACUCAAUGACAAUAUCGAGCUUUUAUAAUGUACAUUGUGAUUUCCCGAGGUUAACCCGACAUAUCACCACAUGUGAAAUACGGGAUAUCAUCUAGUGUACCACAUCCAGCAAAUACAUUCACACUCACAUUGAAGGAUCAACUAUAUUUUUGAAGGAUCUGAUUGGACGUAAAGAUGAAUCGAUAUAAACAUGAUAAAUGAAUCUGUUUACAAUGAAGUAGUUGUAUUCAUGAUGAUACUACUGUAAUAAGACUCAUUUAAAACAGGUUUUAUCAAGAUUUUAUGCCGAAGUACGACUUUGCUUGGUUUUUAUUAGAUUUUUUUUACUUUUUAAUUGCCCCCUCUUUUUAGGGGAGGGGCUUUAGGCCUAUUUUGGCAGUUAUUAAGUGUACCAAAAAAAAAACAUUAAUAUUUUGGGAUAAUAUACACAAUCAUUAUGGAUCCGAUUACUGAAGUCCCCCAAUACGGGUAUGAUUUUGAGUUACCCUUGUUUGUGUGUUCACCAAGCAAGAAUAUCUAUAAUUAAAUUGAACAGGCUAAUAACAUAGAAACU